GCAUAACGCGAAGAACCUUACCUACACUUGACAUGCCUCUUGGGACUUUCAGAGAUGAUUGUUUUCGGUUCGGCCGGGGAGUGCACAGGUGCUGCAUGGCUGUCGUCAGCUCGUGUCGUGAGAUGUUGGGUUAAGUCCCGCAACGAGCGCAACCCUUAUCGUAUGUUGCCAGCAUUUAGUUGGGCACUCAUGCGAGACUGCCGGUGAUAAGCCGGAGGAAGGCGGGGACGACGUCAAGUCAUCAUGGCCCUUACGUGUAGGGCUACAAACGUGCUACAAUGGCGUUAACAAUGGGCAGCGAGGCAGCGAUGCCAAGCUAAUCCUUAAAUAACGUCUCAGUUCGGAUUGUACUCUGCAACUCGAGUACAUGAAGUUGGAAUCGCUAGUAAUCGCAAAUCAGCAUGUUGCGGUGAAUACGUUCCCGGGUCUUGUACACACCG
Molecule: ribosomal RNA, 440 nt
Filed under: uncultured bacterium
Lineage: Bacteria
Description: bacterial SSU rRNA
Rfam family: Bacterial small subunit ribosomal RNA
Source: RNAcentral